GGAGAGGUGGCCGAGUGGCUUAAGGCGGCGGUUUGCUAAACCGCUGUACUGGUUAAUACCGGUACCUGGGGUUCAAAUCCCCACCUCUCCGCCA
This 94-nucleotide transfer RNA is filed under the name bacterium. RNAcentral's name for it is "tRNA-Ser". It matches the Rfam family "tRNA". Rfam says of the family: Transfer RNA (tRNA) molecules are approximately 80 nucleotides in length. Their secondary structure includes four short double-helical elements and three loops (D, anti-codon, and T loops). Further hydrogen bonds mediate the characteristic L-shaped molecular structure. tRNAs have two regions of fundamental functional importance: the anti-codon, which is responsible for specific mRNA codon recognition, and the 3' end, to which the tRNAs corresponding amino acid is attached (by aminoacyl-tRNA synthetases). tRNAs cope with the degeneracy of the genetic code in two manners: having more than one tRNA (with a specific anti-codon) for a particular amino acid; and 'wobble' base-pairing, i.e. permitting non-standard base-pairing at the 3rd anti-codon position. RNAcentral also lists the same sequence under 1 other name. The record is from RNAcentral.